AUUUCUUUUUGUACUGAAGAAGGGAAAAAGAACGAGUAAAUCUAACCAUGCUAACGUCGUUUGUUGUUUAUAUAUUUAGAUAGAUAGAUAAAUAGAUUCUGGUAAACAUAAGCAUGGUUAGUUUUAUUAAGGUUGAUUCUUUUGUAUGAAUAUGAAUUUCAGCCGGCGGUUCCUCAACAGCCCUAUGUGCAACCUGUUGCAGCUCCUGCACAGCAACCUGCUGCAGUUCCUCAAGCCUAUUACGGUAGUUAUUAUUGAGUUCACAAAAUGAGAUGACGACUGUUUUCGCCUCCUGUAUUUUUUCCUUUAUAUUAUA
Molecule: long non-coding RNA, 316 nt
Filed under: Vigna radiata
Lineage: Eukaryota; Viridiplantae; Streptophyta; Magnoliopsida; Fabales; Fabaceae
Description: long non-coding RNA (VRAD_LNC002374)
Source: RNAcentral